RNAcentral lists this ribosomal RNA (279 nucleotides) under uncultured bacterium. RNAcentral describes it as "partial 16S ribosomal RNA". It matches the Rfam family "Bacterial small subunit ribosomal RNA", at positions 506 to 784 of the family's 1533-position model. The record is from RNAcentral.
UGCCAGCCGCCGCGGUAAGACGAACCGUCCAAACGUUAUUCGGUAUCACUGGGCUUAAAGCGUGCGUAGGCGGCUUGGUAGGUGUGAUGUGAAAGCCCACGGCUCAACCGUGGAAUUGCGUCGCAAACCCCCAAGCUUGAGGAAGACAGGGGUGUUGGGAACUUAUGGUGGAGCGGUGAAAUGCGUUGAUAUCAUAGGGAACACCGGUGGCGAAGGCGCAACACUGGGUCUUUUCUGACGCUGAGGCACGAAAGCUAGGGUAGCGAACGGGAUUAGAUA